Molecule: long non-coding RNA, 815 nt
Filed under: Elaeis guineensis (African oil palm)
Lineage: Eukaryota; Viridiplantae; Streptophyta; Magnoliopsida; Arecales; Arecaceae
Description: long non-coding RNA (EGUI_LNC062427)
Source: RNAcentral
UUCUUAUUAGGAGUGAUCGAUUCCAUGUUGACCUACUCACAACCUCCAUAUACACUCCAUCAUAUCCAGAACAUCCUGUACAUGUCUUAAUGCCAUACUUGGGUAUGAACCAAAAUAUGGGUUCAUGUGCAUAAGAUUCUAUGGUGGUUUCAGGUCUAAGGAUCACUUGCACAACUUCCACUUAGAGAACCAUCUUUCAUAUACAAGUAAGGCUUCCAUAAGAUAUUUUCUUUCAUUGAGUUAAUUCAGUGGACUUAUUUUUCAAAUGAGCACCCACAUCUUUGUAUUAGUAUCCCACAUAAGUAACUAGUAAGAUGUGCCACCCUCUCUAUCGAGCAUACAUAGGAUGUGCCGGUCUAUCUGGAACAUUGAUCUCCGACUCAAUGCUCCUACAACCAGAAAUAUUUAAGAUUAGAAUUUUAGAGUUUUAGGUCUCACUAGCAUGACCCAUUCAUGUCUCCUAAAAUCAUUAUCCUAAUCUUUGGGGUUCAUCAUAAUCUUAGAUAUAGUAAGAUGUAGCUAAUAUGAUGAAUCAAUACCUCAAAUAAUAAAUAUCAUUUCAUGAGUUAGAAAAUUAUAAAGAAAAGUUUCAUCGUAACACACUUGCGAUUGGCUUAAAGGGCACUCUUCUUUCAAUCUCCCACUUGCACUAAAGCCAAUCGCCUUUAUAUCUCAUACAGUCAAGAUGGCGAUUAUAUAGCUACUUUGGUAUGGCCUUAGUGAAUAGAUCUGUUAUAUUGUUCUUUCUGUCUACUCAUUCAAGGACAAUAUUUUGUCUCUAACGAGAUGGAAGCGUCUGAGUAUGUGCUUAGAUC